UACGGAGGGUGCAAGCGUUGUUCGGAAUCACUGGGCGUAAAGGGCGUGUAGGCGGUCCGCUAAGUCUGAUGUGAAAGCCCGAGGCUUACCCUCGGAAGUGCAUUGGAGACUGGCGGACUGGAGUCCCGGAGAGGAGGGUGGAAUUCCUGGUGUAGCGGUGAAAUGCGUAGAUAUCAGGAGGAACACCGGUGGCGAAGGCGGCCCUCUGGACGGUGACUGACGCUGAGGUGCGAAAGCGUGGGGAGCAAACAGG
This 253-nucleotide ribosomal RNA is filed under the name uncultured bacterium. RNAcentral's name for it is "partial 16S ribosomal RNA". It matches the Rfam family "Bacterial small subunit ribosomal RNA", at positions 524 to 776 of the family's 1533-position model. The record is from RNAcentral.